UACGUGAAACCGCUCAGAGGUAAACGGGUGGAUCCGCAAAAGUCGGCCGGCAGAAUUCAGCGCGGCGCGCGGCUCCGGGGCUGCUGUAGUUUGGGAUCCUUCGGACCUGACUGCGGUGCCGUGCCGGGCCCCGCCGUGUGCACUUUCUGUCGGCAGAGGGCCACAACCGAUUCGGUUGGCGGUGAGAUGUCAGGUAGGGUUGUAGGUGGGGGCGUUCGCGUCCCUACCAGCCUCGCUUGUCGAGCCGCCUCCGGACCGAGGGACCGCCGAGCACCUCGAGGCCACCUUCCUCUCGGGGUGAGUUCGACUGGGAGAGACUGGGCAACCGUGUCUUCCGAACGCUCACUUUCGAUUUGCGUGAGGCUGGCCGGGUGUAUGUGUGGGUUUGUGGCGAGUCUGUCGGCACUCCACCCGACCCGUCUUGAAACACGGACCAAGGAGUCUAACAUGCGCGCGAGUCAUUGGGUGGUACGAAACCCAAAGGCGCAGUGAAAGCGAGGUCAGUCAAAUGCCUAGGUGGGAUCCGUCCUCUUUUCCUUCUCUCGGGAGGGUCAUUUGGGGGCGGCGCACCACCGGCCCGUCCCGUCUGCGUCGGCAGUGGGGCGGAGCAAGAGCGCGCACGCUGGGACCCGAAAGAUGGUGAACUAUGCCUGAGUAGAACGAAGCCAGA
Molecule: ribosomal RNA, 670 nt
Filed under: Eupulmonata sp. NZAC 03010168
Lineage: Eukaryota; Metazoa; Mollusca; Gastropoda
Description: eukaryotic LSU rRNA
Rfam family: Eukaryotic large subunit ribosomal RNA
Source: RNAcentral